Molecule: long non-coding RNA, 439 nt
Organism: Bombyx mori (domestic silkworm)
Lineage: Eukaryota; Metazoa; Arthropoda; Insecta; Lepidoptera; Bombycidae
Exons: 2
Source: RefSeq, a predicted model, not a curated record
UAAUACACAUUUAAACCUGAAAAAACACUAAAUAGACAAAAUAAAACUUCGAUCAACAAUAGUAACUAGAUUUCGGGUCGUGCAUAAAAUCCGUCUCGUCAAAUAACAGCGCACUUGAAAUGUGAGCUCUUAUUUUGUUUAGUUCACUUCAAACACAGCCAAUGUCAACCCGUCUCAUAAUACCGCAAUGUAUAUUCAAAAGUUGCAAAAAUAAGGCCCGAAAAAGCAAUUUAACGGCCGGAGUAUCUUACUUUCGCUUUCCUAGCAAUCACGUGUGCAGAAUGGAUCUCGAUUGUCGCCAGAGAAACAAGAGAUGACUUUUAUAAGCCAGCUAAGAACUCCGCUUAUUGACACUGGACAUCUUUGCCUUCCGUGCUCACGGCUACUGAAAUGUGGCCGAAACAUUGUAAUAAAAAUACCGCGCUUGAAACCGUUUAAA